GUCUACGGCCAUACCACCCUGAACACGCCCACCCUCGUCUGAUCUCGGAAGCUAAGCAGGGUCGGACCUGGUUAGUACUUGGAUGGGAGUAUGGUACUAGAUCUGGGUGGCAGGAGAGU
Molecule: ribosomal RNA, 119 nt
Filed under: Chinchilla lanigera (long-tailed chinchilla)
Lineage: Eukaryota; Metazoa; Chordata; Mammalia; Rodentia; Chinchillidae
Source: RNAcentral